Mesocricetus auratus (golden hamster) is the source of this 659-nucleotide long non-coding RNA. RefSeq lists it as uncharacterized. The record is from RefSeq and is a predicted model, not a curated record. Lineage: Eukaryota; Metazoa; Chordata; Mammalia; Rodentia; Cricetidae. The transcript is spliced from 3 exons.
GUGGGAUGCUCCUUGGUUCGAACCUCGCUGGUCACUAGCUGUGCUGCUUUGGACAGCUUGAGAAAUGUUUUAAAAGCUUCUCACAUUUCCAGCGAAACCCACAGAGAAGAAUUUUGCUUGUUAUCAGCCCUGGAAGCCUCUGAUAGACGGAGCCAGAGCUGCCUGAGGCGAAAAGAGAGGAGGAUGAUGGACACAGAGCCAGCGUCCUAGGAAGACGAUGGCCCAUGGGGAGCAAACAGCAAGACUGAGUCUUUCCCUUCUCCAAACACCAGCGCCCCCUAGUCCCUGACCUCCCCACAGCUGUUCACCUAGGCAGAGAGAGGGAAAGGUCUCCCAUGGGGGAAAAGCAAACAGGCUGCUUGGGGCCUUCUCCGGACCCUUCCCCAGGGCUGCCUGGAAUGGCCAUUACAGGGCCACUUCUUGCGGCACCACGAGCCAUUAAAGCAGGAGAGCUCGGGGAGCCAUCAGCCGAGCGCAGAUGACUUCCCCAGAUGUGGUAGUGGGCAGGAUGUGGAAGCCCCCAGCCCCAACUCUACAGACAAAACAUUCCCCUACUAACCAUCCUCGGAAACCCCACAGCCCAGAGCCCCUCUUACAGAUGCUUUCUAGACCAUUUAGCAGGAGGCAGUGUUUAUUUUUGAACAUAUGUUCUUCCCUCA